AGCGAACGCUGGCGGCAGGCCUAACACAUGCAAGUCGAGCGGCCGUAGCAAUACGGCAGCGGCAGACGGGAGAGUAACACGUGGGAACGUGCCCUUUGGUUCGGAAUAACGCAGGGAAACUUGCGCUAAUACCGAAUAAGCCCUUACGGGGAAGAUUAUCGCCAUUGGAGCGGCCCGCGUCUGAUUAGCUAGUUGGUGGGUAACGGCGUCACCAAGGCGACGAUCAGUAGCUGGUCUGAGAGGAUGAUCAGCCUCACUGGGACUGAGACACGGCCCAGACUCCUACGGGAGGCAGCAGUGGGGAAGUAUUGGACAAUGGGCGCAAGCCUGAUCCAGCCAUGCCGCGUAGAUGAUGAAGGCCUUA
Molecule: ribosomal RNA, 364 nt
Filed under: uncultured bacterium
Lineage: Bacteria
Description: bacterial SSU rRNA
Rfam family: Bacterial small subunit ribosomal RNA
Source: RNAcentral